RNAcentral lists this ribosomal RNA (497 nucleotides) under uncultured bacterium. RNAcentral describes it as "partial 16S ribosomal RNA". It matches the Rfam family "Bacterial small subunit ribosomal RNA", at positions 28 to 507 of the family's 1533-position model. The record is from RNAcentral.
GAUGAACGCUGGCGGCGUGCCUAAUACAUGCAAGUCGAGCGAACAGACGAGGAGCUUGCUCCUUUGACGUUAGCGGCGGACGGGUGAGUAACACGUAGGUAACCUACCUAUAAGACUGGGAUAACUUCGGGAAACCGGAGCUAAUACCGGAUAAUAUUUCGAACCGCAUGGUUCGAUAGUGAAAGAUGGCUUUGCUAUCACUUAUAGAUGGACCUGCGCCGUAUUAGCUACUUGGUAAGGUAACGGCUUACCAAGGCAACGAUACGUAGCCGACCUGAGAGGGUGAUCGGCCACACUGGAACUGAGACACGGUCCAGACUCCUACGGGAGGCAGCAGUAGGGAAUCUUCCGCAAUGGGCGAAAGCCUGACGGAGCAACGCCGCGUGAGUGAUGAAGGUCUUCGGAUCGUAAAACUCUGUUAUUAGGGAAGAACAAACGUGUAAGUAACUGUGCACGUCUUGACGGUACCUAAUCAGAAAGCCACGGCUAACUACGUG